Molecule: transfer RNA, 84 nt
Filed under: Pantoea allii
Lineage: Bacteria; Pseudomonadati; Pseudomonadota; Gammaproteobacteria; Enterobacterales; Erwiniaceae
Description: tRNA-Leu
Rfam family: tRNA
About the family: Transfer RNA (tRNA) molecules are approximately 80 nucleotides in length. Their secondary structure includes four short double-helical elements and three loops (D, anti-codon, and T loops). Further hydrogen bonds mediate the characteristic L-shaped molecular structure. tRNAs have two regions of fundamental functional importance: the anti-codon, which is responsible for specific mRNA codon recognition, and the 3' end, to which the tRNAs corresponding amino acid is attached (by aminoacyl-tRNA synthetases). tRNAs cope with the degeneracy of the genetic code in two manners: having more than one tRNA (with a specific anti-codon) for a particular amino acid; and 'wobble' base-pairing, i.e. permitting non-standard base-pairing at the 3rd anti-codon position.
Source: RNAcentral
GCUUAUGUUUUUAAUGUUAAAAAAAGUGAUUUAAAAUCCCUCGAUCGCAAGGUCGUGCGGGUUCAAGUCCCGCCCCGGGCACCA